This 241-nucleotide ribosomal RNA is filed under the name Klebsiella pneumoniae subsp. pneumoniae. RNAcentral's name for it is "partial 23S ribosomal RNA". It matches the Rfam family "Bacterial large subunit ribosomal RNA", at positions 769 to 1007 of the family's 2925-position model. Lineage: Bacteria; Pseudomonadati; Pseudomonadota; Gammaproteobacteria; Enterobacterales; Enterobacteriaceae. The record is from RNAcentral.
GAGGACCGAACCGACUAAUGUUGAAAAAUUAGCGGAUGACUUGUGGCUGGGGGUGAAAGGCCAAUCAAACCGGGAGAUAGCUGGUUCUCCCCGAAAGCUAUUUAGGUAGCGCCUCGUGAAUUCAUCUUCGGGGGUAGAGCACUGUUUCGGCUAGGGGGUCAUCCCGACUUACCAACCCGAUGCAAACUACGAAUACCGAAGAAUGUUAUCACGGGAGACACACGGCGGGUGCUAACGUCCG